CCCUUAGAUGUUCUGGGCCGCACACGCGCUACACUGAAGGAGGCAGCGUGUACUCCUGGAUCGAAAGAUUUGGGUAACCCGCGAAUCUCCUUCGUGCUAGGGAUUGAGGUUUGCAAUUAUCCUUCAUGAACGAGGAAUUCCCAGUAAGUGCAAGUCAUAAGCUUGCGCUGACUACGUCCCUGCCCUUUGUACACACCGCCCGACGCUACUACCGAUUGAAUGAUUUAGUGAGGACUUCGGACUGGGACCGAUGCGGCUUUCGGGCUGCGUCGGUAUUCUGGAAAGAUGUCCAAACUGUAUCAUUUAGAGGAAGUAAAAGUCGUANCA
This 327-nucleotide ribosomal RNA is filed under the name uncultured eukaryote. Its description in RNAcentral is "partial 18S ribosomal RNA". It matches the Rfam family "Eukaryotic small subunit ribosomal RNA", at positions 1470 to 1796 of the family's 1831-position model. The record is from RNAcentral.